Molecule: ribosomal RNA, 346 nt
Filed under: uncultured soil bacterium
Lineage: Bacteria
Description: bacterial SSU rRNA
Rfam family: Bacterial small subunit ribosomal RNA
Source: RNAcentral
AGGACGAACGCUGGCGGCGUGCUUAACACAUGCAAGUCGAGCGAUGAACCACUUCGGUGGGGAUUAGCGGCGAACGGGUGAGUAACACGUGGGCAACCUGCCCUCAGCUCUGGGAUAACUCCUCGAAAGAGGGGCUAAUACCGGAUACGACUUCCUGCGGCAUCUUGGGAAGUGGAAAGUUUUUCGGCUGAGGAUGGGCCCGCGGCCUAUCAGCUUGUUGGUGGGUAACGCCCACCAAGGCGACGACGGGUAGCCGGCCUGAGAGGGCGACCGGCCACACUGGGACUGAGACACGGCCCAGACUCCUACGGGAGGCAGCAGUGGGGAAUAGUUGCGCAAGUGGGCG